Molecule: long non-coding RNA, 613 nt
Filed under: Hordeum vulgare
Lineage: Eukaryota; Viridiplantae; Streptophyta; Magnoliopsida; Poales; Poaceae
Description: long non-coding RNA (HVUL_LNC021101)
Source: RNAcentral
UAUUUAGUCUGAAUAAGACAGUAGUUAUCACCAAUAAUUCAGCAACAAGAGAUAAAAUAGAAUAAGCAGAGGAUGUUGUAGAGGAGGGAGGGAGUGAGAGGUACAAGUGCUCAGGUUCGUAGGCAAUGCAGUGGUUGCAGACUCGCAGUGCAGGUCGGCCACCAUCGUCGCGCGGUAGAGAGGUAGUCACAGGACGCACGGCAGCGGCAAAGACGUGGCAGAGCCGCAGAGGAGGUUGGGGUCGCCACCAUCCAUCCCAACGUGCGCGAGUGGACCAAGCUAGGGGCCCCACCCAGAAGGUGCAGAGGGAGCGAGGGGGCGCGGUGUGCGACGGAGAGGAGCUGUCGAAGACGCUCCGAUGAUGGACACGAUGUCGUAGCCGAAACCCUAGGGGUCGUGGGGCGAGCACCAAAGCCAGGGAGCGGUGGAGAGAGAGAGAGUGAGAUGCGCCAGAUCUGACAGCUGCCGGAGCAACGAGGCGAGGUGAGAGGAGGGGAGGACCGGCACGGAGUUUUGGAGAAGAGGGGAGAAGAGAUGGUGGGUGCCGGCGAUGGGAGUCGGGAGGGGGCUGUGUGGAGGAGGCACAGUGACGAGGGCCGAGGAGGAUGGAGUU